CCCGGGGAACUGAAACAUCUAAGUACCCGGAGGAAAAGAAAUCAAACGAGAUGCCCACAGUAGCGGCGAGCGAAGAGGGCAGAGCCCAAACCUGUAAGCUACGGCUUAUGGGGGUUGAGGACUGACGUAAUUAAGGCCAGGCUUAGCUGAACUACCUGGGAAGGUAGGCGAUAGAAGGUAAGAGCCCUGUAAGCGAAAGGCAGAGCCUUAAGGUCAGUAUCCAGAGUACCACGGAGCACGAGGAAUUCUGUGGGAAGCAGGGGGGACCACCCUCCAAGGCUAAAGACUAACUGGCGACCGAUAGCGCAUAGUACCGUGAGGGAAAGGUGAAAAGAACCCCGGGAGGGGAGUGAAAUAGUACCUGAAACCGUAUGUCUACAAGCAGUCGGAGCGAAAGCGACGGCGUGCCUAUUGAAGAAUGAACCAACGAGUUAUCUGCACUAGCGAGGUUAAGUGGAAGACACGGAGCCGUAGCGAAAGCGAGUCUGAAAAGGGCGGCGAGUUAGUGUAGGUAGACCCGAAACCGCAGUGAUCUACCCAUGUCCAGGUUGAAGCGCAGGUAAAAAUGCGUGGAGGACCGAACCGGUGAGCGUUGAAAAGCUUUCGGAUGAGAUGUGGGUAGGGGUGAAAUUCCAAUCGAACGCGGAGAUAGCUGGUUCUCCCCGAAAUAGCUUUAGGGCUAGCCUCAGGUAGUAAGUAUAGGCGGUAGAGCACUGAUCGGGCUAGGGGCCAUAAAGGUUACCGAACCCUGUCAAACUCCGAAUGGAUAUACUGCAGAGCCUGGGAGUCAGACUACGAGUGAUAAGAUCCGUGGUCAAAAGGGAAACAGCCCAGACCACCGGCUAAGGUCCCAAAUGCCGUACUAAGUGGAAAAGGAUGUGGGGAUUCAUAAACAACCAGGAUGUUGGCUCAGAAGCAGCCAUCAUUUAAAGAGUGCGUAAUAGCUCACUGGUCGAGAGUCCCUGCGCCGAAAAUUUCCGGGGCUAAAGUACGGAACCGAAGCCGUGGCUGUGUACUUAGGUGCACGGGGUAGGGGAGCGUUGCCACAGGGGUGAAGCUGGUCUGGAAGGACUGGUGGACUUGUGGGAAGUGAGAAUGUUGGUAUGAGUAGCGAAAAGAAAGGUGAGAAUCCUUUCCACCGAAAGCAUAAGGAUUCCUGAGCAACGAUCGUCGUCUCAGGGUAAGUCGGGACCUAAUCCGAGGCAAAGAGCGUAGGAGAUGGACAACAGGUUGAUAUUCCUGUACCGGCAGCAAUUGUUUGAGCGAAGGAGUGACACAGAAGGGCAGGCAGGCGCGAGACUGGAUUGUCGCGUGCAAGCGUGUAGGGUAGUGUACAGGCAAAUCCGUACACUGAAAGCCUGAGGCGUUACGCGGAGCGAGCAGAGAUGCGAGCGAAGCUGCUGAUCCCACACUGUCGAGAAAAGCUUCUAGUGAGAGAGCUGCCGCCCGUACCGUAAACCGACACAGGUAUGCGGGGAGAGAAUCCUAAGGUGCGCGGGAGAACCCUCGUUAAGGAACUCGGCAAAAUGUACCCGUAACUUCGGGAUAAGGGUAGCCGUCUUGGUGAAGGAGCAUGCCUCUGGAGCUGAAGGCGGUCGCAGAGAAGAGGCCCAAGCGACUGUUUACCACAAACACAGGUGCCUGCUAAAGCGAAAGCUGACGUAUAGGUGCUGACACCUGCCCAGUGCUGGAAGGUUAAGGAAGGAUGUCCGGGCAACCAAAGCAUUCGACCGAAGCCCCAGUGAACGGCGGCCGUAACUAUAACGGUCCUAAGGUAGCGAAAUUCCUUGUCGGGUAAGUUCCGACCCGCACGAAAGGUGUAACGAUUUGGGCACUGUCUCAACGAGGGACCCGGUGAAAUUGAAAUACCUGUGAAGAUGCAGGUUACCUGCGACUGGACAGAAAGACCCCAUGGAGCUUUACUGUAACCUGACAUUGGGUUUUGUUGUAUUACGUACAGGAUAGGUGGGAGGCUUGGAAGGCUGGACGCUAGUCUGGCUGGAGCCGGCGUUGGGAUACCACCCUUGAUACAACGGAAUUCUAACCGAGAGAGUAACGAAAUCCGGGACAGUGUCAGGCGGGCAGUUUGACUGGGGCGGUCGCCUCCGAAAGAGUAACGGAGG
This 2123-nucleotide ribosomal RNA is filed under the name human gut metagenome. RNAcentral's name for it is "bacterial LSU rRNA". It matches the Rfam family "Bacterial large subunit ribosomal RNA", at positions 184 to 2306 of the family's 2925-position model. The record is from RNAcentral.